CUAGUAACGGCGAGUGAAGCGGCAACAGCUCAAAUUUGAAAGCUAGCCUUCGGGUUCGCAUUGUAAUUUGUAGAGGAUGAUUUGGGGAAGCCGCCUGUCUAAGUUCCUUGGAACAGGACGUCAUAGAGGGUGAGAAUCCCGUAUGUGACAGGAAAUGGCACCCUAUGUAAAUCUCCUUCGACGAGUCGAGUUGUUUGGGAAUGCAGCUCUAAAUGGGAGGUAAAUUUCUUCUAAAGCUAAAUAUUGGCGAGAGACCGAUAGCGCACAAGUAGAGUGAUCGAAAGAUGAAAAGCACUUUGGAAAGAGAGUUAAAAAGCACGUGAAAUUGUUGAAAGGGAAGCGCUUGCAAUCAGACUUGUUUAAACUGUUCGGCCGGUCUUCUGACCGGUUUACUCAGUUUGGACAGGCCAGCAUCAGUUUCGGCGGCCGGAUAAAGGCUCUGGGAAUGUGGCCUCCACUUCGGUGGAGGUGUUAUAGCCCAGGGUGUAAUACGGCCAGCCGGGACUGAGGUCCGCGCU
RNAcentral lists this ribosomal RNA (518 nucleotides) under Aureobasidium proteae. Its description in RNAcentral is "eukaryotic LSU rRNA". It matches the Rfam family "Eukaryotic large subunit ribosomal RNA", at positions 80 to 606 of the family's 3401-position model. The record is from RNAcentral. Lineage: Eukaryota; Fungi; Ascomycota; Dothideomycetes; Dothideales; Saccotheciaceae.